This 629-nucleotide long non-coding RNA is filed under the name Homo sapiens (human). RNAcentral describes it as "HSALNT0386585". The record is from RNAcentral. Lineage: Eukaryota; Metazoa; Chordata; Mammalia; Primates; Hominidae.
GACAAUGAGGAUGUUAGCUGAGAAGAGGGAGUCCUGAAAUGCCAGUUAACCCAGCAGAAGUUGAUAAGCUCACUCACAGCCAGGGACAUGGUUUCCCAGAUUUUAUAAGAAAAGCCAGUGGGCUCCCAGACAAAGUUAAAAAGAUCCAUCAUCAAUGUGGUUCCUUUUCUCUGCACCAUAAAUAACAGCUGAGGAAGGGGAACAUCUCCCACAACACGGUGGCAUCGAACUUUAACCAAUUUUGGAAUAUAGUGUUUGUUAAGCCUUCUUGGGAUGGGAGCCAAGAGUACCUGCGUGCCCAUCAUUUGUCUCAUGGCCUUCCAGGUUUUGGACGAAGACACUCCAAGUCUAAGCAUAGAGAAAUUUGCAUCUGAUUUCAGUUGUACUUGCCAGAUGGAAGAUGGACUUUUGUAGGUUUUUAUAUAUGGCUCAUCUGGGUUGGCCCCAGUUUAUGUCCCUGGUUCCAGUUAAAUUAUUAAAAGCAACUUCUUUUACUUUCAAAAUUGUCCUGGUUUGGAUAAUAAGUUAUGUGGUCACUGUAGAUGUAUACUGAGAAACACAGGGCUUCAUAUGACCUCUAGUUUUUUCCCAUUCCCCAUUAGAUGCUCAUUCUGUGUAUUGGAACCCCC